This is a non-coding RNA of Paramuricea clavata, 666 nucleotides long. Lineage: Eukaryota; Metazoa; Cnidaria; Anthozoa; Malacalcyonacea; Plexauridae. The record is from the annotation of a GenBank genome assembly.
CGCUCUUUGGGUGGCCGCGGCCGCUUAAUAGAGGUGGCCGUUUAAUAGAGGGAUAGUUUAUAGUAUUUGUAUUACAAAAAUGUCGGGACUUCGAUAUGUGGCCGUUUAAUAGAGGGUGGCCGCUUAAUGGAGGGCCGCUUAAUAGAGGUUCGGCUGUAUCAGCAUGGUUUUGUGGUACUAUCAGUACAAACUACUGUGAUGUUCACCAUCUGCAUUAUUUUGCAUUCUAUUUAAAUUUAGCUAUAUUCUAUUUCAUUUCCUAUAGGUCUUGUGCCAUUGUUCGGUAUUGAUGUCUGGGAGCAUGCGUAUUACCUUCAAUAUAAGAACGUGAAACCUGAUUACGUCAAGUCAAUUUACAAUGUCGCAAACUGGAAUGACGUCGGUGAACGAUAUCAGCAAGCCGUUGGCAAGGCAUGAAUUUUCAGAUAACCUAACUGUGUUGCUAGACGCAACUUGCUUGAUGGAUUUUGUGUGUAUCGUUCCCUGUAGCUUGUAGAGUACAAUUAUUAUAUUAAAUUGCAUAUUAUCCAAAGAGAAUAUAUAAAUUUAAAUUACAACUUAAUAGUAGCGCGACACGCGCGAAAUAUUGGAGAUGAAAAUUUGGUCGGGAUUUGGGAUAGUAAUUGGCUUAAAGCUUUUGUGGUAUACUAUUCUUGCCAAAAUUUG